CUGAGUGACACCCUAAAGCCACACCACCCGCCUCUUGGUACAGCAUUUUUUUUUUAAAGGAAAGAAGCCCCAAAGCUCCGACUUUGCUUCAGCUGCCUGAGCCUCCCGUCCCUUACAGCAAGGGCGCGGGGCCACAUGACUGUCCAGCCCCAGAGGCGCCCGGGGGCGCAGGGCAGAAGUGAACUUCCUAGCGGGCCACGCAGCUUGGGCUGAACGGGGGCCCUCCCCCCCUCCCGGGGCGGCCUACCCCCCAGAACUCUGCUGCCCCGGAAGUCAGCCGGCAGCUGGAAGGCCAGGCCGCUGCGGAGGGGAGGAGGAGGGGCGGGAGGCAAUGUGGAGAGGCCUUCUCCCGGGUCCUAAGGGGCCGGCCACAGGGGGCUGCACGCCGGAGGUCCUGAAGAAUUCGGCAGGCCCCGUCUCGCAGGGGGAGGCGGCCAGGGGACGCAGGGAGCAAGGAGUGGGAGCACAGUGCUACCAGGCUUGAAGUCACAGACAACUGAAGGUCAGCUCUGCCCAGCACUAGGUUUAUAGCCUGCAGGAGGCACACGGCCCUGGCCCACGGCCCUCUGGGAGCAGCAGGGCCAACCCACGUUGCGAGGCCCCAGGGAAAAAGGGCAGGGGUGCUUGGACCAAGGGAUGGGGUGCCAAGAGCCUCCCGUUGCACAGAUGAGGAAGGGGCGCUCAGGGAGGUUGGGGGCCACAGCUGAAGAAGGCACCUGUGUGCUGACACACCCCUGCACUCCUGCCUCUGCACGGACAAGCAUGCAGCAGAACUUGCCAGGGUGACCCGGAGUUCCAAGAAAGGGCCGGUGCAGCGGGGACACAUACUUCCACAGCUGAGACACCAUGCAAUCCAGGAUGACCGGUCUAGGGAAGAGGGGCUCUGUCCCCGUGCUCCCGCUCUGUCUCCUAUCCUAGGGAUGGAGAGCCCCAGCUCUGGGAGCGAGGCUGUGACCACGGGCCCCUUGGCUUAGCCCACUGCAGCCCAUCAGAAAAGGGCAGAAGCAGGGCCUGGGAUUCAGGGCCCCUGGAGCCCGUGGGCAGGGCCACAUGGCUGGCCUGGCUUUAGUUGGGGACAGGACCACUAAACCUCUGAACCCUCCCCUCAUGUUACAAGGCGGCGGGAACAAGCCGUGAGCCUCUGGGGUAACUGAGGUCAGAGAGAGCAGUCCCCACAGCGGAGCGGCGGAGCCCCAGGGAGCCAUCCCUUCAACUCCUUGACGGGGAGGCCGUGGCCCGGUGGCUCCAUCGGGGCCAGGCCGGUCCAGGUCCUGUGUCCCUCUUCUCCCAGGAAAGGCCCACAAGGGCCCCGGGGCACCGCCCUGGCCCCACACUUCCCUCUGUGUGAGUGGCGCUGGCGAGCAGCACCCCGGAGCCCGUCCUGGGCGUCCCGAGCCCUGACCUCCCCCGGCCGCCGGCACCCACCUCUGCCCAGCCCCGAGCCUCAGUGUCCUGCUCCGCAAAAUGGGAUCAAGGGCAAGACAUGCCAUGUGGGCCGAGGAGGAGUCGAUGCCCUAUCGCGGCGCAGCCCAGGCACGUGGCACGUGUUAGGAACGGCAGCCCCACCGAGUGGGGCCGCUCCUGGCACAGGCCACCUGCUUCCCCCCACCCAGAGCUGCCUGGGCUAAUGACAGAGCCCCUCUGAGCCCUCCCACGCCUCCUCACUCACUGAAGAACUUUCUGCCUCACACGUCACCAUCUUGCCCCCAACCUGUAGCUACGUCCUGCGUGCUGGGCAAGUGCCAAACUCCUUAGUCUCUGAUACAAAGCAGGACUGCCUGUCGCUUUCUCCUGUUUUGCUUCAUGACCUAAACAGCCCCCAGCCCCUGCCCAUCAUGACCCUGUCUUCCUUUUAUUCACUAAUAGACCUGGGUUUGAAUCCCAGAACAGACCUUUACCAGCUUAGCUACUCAGAGCCUCAGUUUCCCCACCUGCAAAGCAGCGGCAAUGACACCUGCCUGGGAAGCUGCCCUCUCGUGCCAAAUCCCCCGGGAGAUGUGGGUCCUGGACGGCAUCACUCCAGAUGCCCACAGCCCCUUGCGUGUCUGAGGAGGUGGCAGAACGGGUGCAGGCACAAGACAGGGGUCAACCUCGGGCCAGUGGUGAAGGCCCCCGGGGGGGAGAAGCCUCCACCCUCCACCUAGAACAAUCCCUAGAUCCCGGUCGUGCCCAGAGGGUAGGAGCAGGUCAGCCUCGCGCGGUGCCUGCUCUUGCGGCUGUCGGAGCCCGAGUGGAAGGGAAGUCCCAGGCCAUUACGAGCAUGGGGUCCUUGCGGCAAACCGCAGAACGCAGCGGGAACGCAAAUGUAGAGUCAUUCCCUUGAAAUGAGCUCACGUCUAGUUUCCUCCGAACGGCACAGCCAUGCUGCGUCCCCUCCACCCCCACGGAUCGGACGGGGCAGUCCCAAACCCCCGGCCACAGGAAGGAACCUUCCCGGAGAUGAGACCCUCUCGAAGGCUCCUUCUGCUGGUUUGUGAGUCUAAACAUUGUCUCGGGCUGACGGCCACGGUCGUGACCAAAAGCUGCGGUGUGGAGACCCAGAGGCCACCCCUGGCCAGCCGCCUCAGCCCCUGCCUGGUCCCCCUGGUCCCCCGAGCCCCCGCCUGGCCCCCCCCGCCCCUGACAGCACACUUACUCUCCAGGCGCAGCCCAAACACAGGGAGCUAACUUCACAGGGACGGCGUCUAUGCGGGCCCCGUGCUAUGGACCUUGGUGCGCACUUGGAGGCCCACACCACCUGGUCCCUGGUGACAGGGUCUGGUGAAACCAGCAGCCCGGCCCCAGUGAUAACGCUGCACCCCUGCUUUGCACCUGCCCCUUGCUUGGGACCACGGUCACUGCCCAGCCUUCCUGCACAUUUUCACUCCCUGAAAUGCUCUACCGAUGGCCUUGUGUUUUACCCAAGUCCUCGCCCACGGGCCUCGUCACGCCUCACGGCCCUGUUGUCUGCUGUGCCCGCCCUGACCCUGGUUGAACUCACAGGCCCCCUGAAUUGGGCGGGAGCCAUCCCAGAUCAUCCCAGCGAGGGGCCGGGUCGCACACUCUCUCCCCCGGCCCGAGUCUCUGCCAGGGCCCUUCUCACCCACUAACCCCUCAACUGUGGGCCCCCCGAGUGCAAACAUCACCGCUUUGUUCCUCUCUGAAUCUCCCCAUGUGCCACGGUGUCUAUUUUGUGAGAUUCUACCUGUGUUGACUGACUAAACAAACGUAAUCUA
Long non-coding RNA from Suricata suricatta (meerkat), 3215 nucleotides. RefSeq lists it as uncharacterized. The record is from RefSeq and is a predicted model, not a curated record. NCBI's taxonomy places the organism in Eukaryota, Metazoa, Chordata, Mammalia, Carnivora, Herpestidae. The transcript is spliced from 2 exons.